CCUCUCUCUUUCCUUGUCCCUUGUAUCCCGCCCAGCCCACUUAUACAGUUGCUCCCAGUUUCUCUUCUUCUAUAUUAUUUUCAAAUUUCGAUGGUUCUCGUCCAGAUUAGACUGACCAAUUAGACUGACACGCUUGACAAUUUCUCUCUUUUAAUCUGCGCUCGCUUCCAUUGAUUGGAUUUGCAGGUUCACCUACGGAAUUUACUCUUUUGCACUAGAGCGUUAGGUUAUAAGUUAAAAUUAUUGCCCGACAAUGGAGGAGGAAAAAGAUGCUGUUUAUGUUGUUAGAAAGGGUGACACUAUUGCCGUUUACAAGAGUUUAAGCGAUUGUCAAGCACAAACCGGAUCAUCUGUCUGCACUCCUUCAAUGAGUGUGUACAAACGGUAUGGUUUGUCCAAAGAGGCUGAGGAGUUUCUCGCUUCGCAUGGACUGAAGAACCCUGCUUAUGCUAUCAAUGCCAGUUAUGUUAAAGAAGAUCUUUUUGGUGAACUUCUUCCUUGCCCAUUUCAGGAACCAUAUUGUUCCAAAGCUCAAACGGUGGUAAAGGAUUCUCCACCUAAGAGAUCACAAGAACAGCUUCAUUCUAACAUUACUGCUGAAUGUGACUUGGAUUUGUUCUUAACAGAUCCUCAGAAAAAGCAUCUCAAAGUAGACAAUUGCAUUCAACUUCCUAUAAUUUCUCCAACAUGUCAAUCCUGUAUUAUCGAGUUUGAUGGGGCUUCCAAAGGAAAUCCUGGACCAGCUGGUGCAGGAGCUGUUCUACGUACUGAAGAUGGAAGUUUGGUAUAUUUGUUGCGUGAAGGGGUGGGUAUUGCAACAAAUAAUGUUGCUGAAUAUCGAGCUGUAAUUUUAGGACUUAAGUGUGCCCUUAGAAAAGGAUUUAAACAUGUCACUGUCAGAGGAGAUUCCAAACUUGUCUGCAUGCAGAUCCAGGGCCUAUGGAAAAUCAAGAACCCAAAUAUGGCAGAAUUGUGCAAACAGGCAGUGGUGCUUAAGGACAAGUUUACAUCAUUUCAUAUCUUUCAUGUUGAGAGGGAGUUCAACUCCACAGCUGAUGCUCAAGCAAACCUUGCCGUCAAUCUUAGGGAUGGUCAAGUCGAAGAGUCAUGUAAAUAAAAAUUUAGAUAAAAUUUUGGAAAUCAGCAAAAGUGCAAGAGAGCUUAGGCCAAUCAAGAGUAACAAUAGCCUAUAGAUUAAUGUUUAACGGUAGCACCUCAAAUAUAUUUCUGGAUUGGUGACAAAUAAGUCUUGCUUGUCAUAAUCUUUUUCAGAAAAAGUUCUGUCCCAUUAUGUUUAGUAUUCCUAGAUCAAUUUAGACAGAUUAACUUUGGUUUUCUCUAAUUUGGAAUAAUGUCUCGUGUUGAUUCAAGCUUUCUGGAUUCCAUUUUUUUUAUUGACUGCUUCUAUGUUGUACUAAGAACGUGAUUUGAUUAACAUCAUCCCAAGCCAACCAGAUAUUCAUUUCAAGUACACUUGCCCAAACACUUCUUGGCUUCCGCAACUUCAAUUAGUUAUUUUGAUCUUGUUAAGUGGGUCCAGUAUACAUUAAAUACAAAAAAAACAAAAUCUUAUAUGGGUGGAUGUAGGAUUAGUUUUUUUUAAAAAUAGAUCUGAUGUGUGUGUGUUUGUGUAGGAUUAGGAAUCUGAAACUAAGUAGAAGAAAGAAAAAGAAAAUUCAUUAUAGAUAAGAGACAAGUGAGGCUGAUGAGAUAUAUGUAGAACACGAAAAAAGAAAAAGAGUGUUGCGGUACUUUGGAAAAAGGACAGCUUAAAAUUCCUUUUGGAUAUGUGAAAAUCAAAGAGAAAAGUUAGAAUUCUUUUAUUCUUUGAUUUUUUUUUUUUUUGGUGAAAUAAAAUGUAUAAAUAUAUUAACAGACCCUAAGGAGGUGCCAGCCCCUAUACAAAGUGUAUUUUUGUUCUUUGAUUUAUGGUUGGGUAUUUCAAGAAGGACUAAUUUUCCAG
Molecule: RNA transcript, 1963 nt
Organism: Carica papaya (papaya)
Lineage: Eukaryota; Viridiplantae; Streptophyta; Magnoliopsida; Brassicales; Caricaceae
Gene name: Polynucleotidyl transferase, ribonuclease H-like superfamily protein
Source: RefSeq, a predicted model, not a curated record